RNAcentral lists this ribosomal RNA (497 nucleotides) under uncultured bacterium. Its description in RNAcentral is "partial 16S ribosomal RNA". It matches the Rfam family "Bacterial small subunit ribosomal RNA", at positions 28 to 507 of the family's 1533-position model. The record is from RNAcentral.
GAUGAACGCUGGCGGCGUGCCUAAUACGUGCAAGUCGAGCGAACGGACGAGAAGCUUGCUUCUCUGAUGUUAGCGGCGGACGGGUGAGUAACACGUGGAUAACCUACCUAUAAGACUGGGAUAACUUCGGGAAACCGGAGCUAAUACCGGAUAAUAUUUUGAACCGCAUGGUUCAAAAGUGAAAGACGGUCUUGCUGUCACUUAUAGAUGGAUCCGCGCUGCAUUAGCUAGUUGGUAAGGUAACGGCUUACCAAGGCAACGAUGCAUAGCCGACCUGAGAGGGUGAUCGGCCACACUGGAACUGAGACACGGUCCAGACUCCUACGGGAGGCAGCAGUAGGGAAUCUUCCGCAAAGGGCGAAAGCCUGACGGAGCAACGCCGCGUGAGUGAUGAAGGUCUUCGGAUCGUAAAACUCUGUUAUUAGGGAAGAACAUAUGUGUAAGUAACUGUGCACAUCUUGACGGUACCUAAUCAGAAAGCCACGGCUAACUACGUG